This 4755-nucleotide long non-coding RNA is filed under the name Pan troglodytes (chimpanzee). Its description in RNAcentral is "long non-coding RNA NONPTRT014429". The record is from RNAcentral. Lineage: Eukaryota; Metazoa; Chordata; Mammalia; Primates; Hominidae.
UUUUGGAGGGUGCGAGUGGCAUGUACGGACGUAAAGAUCUCUUUGUGAGGCACGUCCACGCACACACAGGGACCCUCAUUUUGUAAAACCUGGAUGGGCGGCUAGGAGGGAAGUGAGUAAAUCACCAGGCGCCCCUCCCAGCUGCCCGUGUCCCUGCGCCGCUCAGCUCCUGCCGCAGGGCUGGCCGCGCCAAGCGCCCGUCCUACCCAAAGCCACCAGCCCCGCGGGGAAGGGACUCGGGGUGUGGGGCGCGAGGUCCAGGACUCGGGGACCCCUCUAUCUCGGCGGCAGCGUGCGACCCUCUUUCUAAUGCGGCCGUGGAUGUUUCUUCCCGGGCCGCAGCCAAGCGCGGUUCUUCCUGGGCGGUGGCUUUGGGCUUUUCGUACCCACAGUAAAGUCAGUUCACAUCGCCUCCCGCACACACGCGUUCAUAAAACGAAACUGGAGUUUCACGAAGCAAUGCUUAGGCUUAGCGUCCAGGAACUCUGUAGACGGUCUAUUCUAUUCUACCCCUAUUCUACUCGGUUCGAUUCUGUUCCUAAGAAAAUGCCGAUCUCGACCCACUUGUACUUCCACGAUCCAGCACGGAGCUGCAGCCAGCAGCUCUGCAGGACCCCGCACUGCCCGCCACCGUCCCCUCUGGGAGUGCCUUCCUCCCGCUUUCCCCAACCGCUCCACUCGAGGAAACAAGGGCAUUUCAUCUCCAUCGACUUAAGAGGCUUCCUUGGAAGGAAGGCUGGCUAAAAGAAAACCAGCGGAGAAGAACUUAAUCCUGCUCUCAGCCCCUACUCACCCAUGUCUUUGUUACAGCUCUGUGAAGACUGACUGACAUGAAGAUUGAGAUGAGAAUUUCAAGAUGAAUUACAAAAUAGGAAAGAAGGAAGAAAGGAGGAAAGGAGAAAGAGAGGAAAGAAAGGUGGGAAGAAAGAUAAAAGACUUUGAGAUAAAUAUUUAGCUUUUCCAUACACAAAUGUACUCGUCAAAUAACACAUAAGAUGUGAUUCCCCGAAAUAAACCGAACGCAAAGGCCGUACGAAAAUAGCCGAUCUUUAAAGGUGAGAAAUACUCGAUCAUUCUAUUUCAGCUACAUACAAAUUAAAGAACAGCCUAAAAGGAGUUUCAUCGUGUGAAAGUAACAGACAGUCAAGCUGCCACUGAAAGCCUUUCCUGCUUAUUUUCUUCAGACUUCCCUGAAACUUGGCAGGUGGGGAAUUUGUUCUAGAUUCAUGAUGGGAAAGGUCGGGAGGGCAGGGGUGGGACCUGCUUUGCCCUGGGUUUGGAGCUCACCUUCUCUGCUGAGCCUUCUAGAGCAGAGGCUGUCUGGAUCCUACUGAAUGUCUGCACCGUGGGCUUGAAAUGGGGCUGCAGCAGUACACGCAGCGACUCUCGCUCUCCUUCUCAUCAUCCAUCACUACUUUUUCAAACGCUUUGCAUUUCGCAAUACUCUAAAGUACCAGUUUCCUCCCCAGAGUGUUAAUAAUACUAAAACAAGUUAUUUCUGCUGGCCCUAAAAGUCCAUAUACAGAUUCUUCAGGAAAAGUAGAAUACAAAAAGUAGUAAUUAGCAAUUUAACAUAGCGCUACAAGGAAAUAGCAAUAUAAGCAGAAAAACGAAGUAAUUUAUUUUUCUUUCCCCUCCCUAAACAAACUUGUAUAUAUUUCUACAGGCUUCUAUUUUGCUAUAAGCGUCACACAAAGAUACUCAUUCUUUUUCCCCAGAGGAAGCUGUGCAAUGUGGAGUCAUGCAGCCCAUCCCUCCCCUCUCUCAAUCCUAUAGCAGCUAGACGGUGUGGAGAAACAUGGUUAUUGUUUAAUCACAUCACACUGGCUGUAAAUCAACCAGCACGACAUAGGAUGCAUUUCAUGGCUGUGAACUCAUAGUCAGCAAAACCCUAAAACCCAGUUUGGCUUCAAAUAAUCUUGGUAGGCUUGGGAAAUGGAGCUUUGUAUUGUAAUUAUGUUUCCUGUAGUUUUCUACAAGUAGCUCACAAUAUAAAAACAACCAGGGAACUACAAUUAAGGAAAAAGAAAAAUGGUUUUCAAAGGCUUAGAAACAGACAUUGCUACCAUACACUGUAAAAGUAUUUCAUUGAAACCAGAGACGCACCCAGUUAAACUUCUCAAUUUAGUUUUGAGCCUAGCUCCAAUACUGCAGUCUAGCUGCUUCCUUUAACCUUCUGCCAAGGCUCUGUCUCCCUGAAAUUUAAUUAGACCAAGAGACCUUGGGAAGAAAAAGGAUGAGGUCCCCUCAGAACAAAACAUCGGCUCUCUAUGCCAGCUGUUCCUAGGCUGACAUCUGGACUGGGCAGUAAGCUUAUGUUCCAAUCAACUUUUAAGGAAAGACUACGAGCAUCCCAGCUUGUUUUACACUUAACUGUUCCUGAAGGAAUUUCUUACUUCUUCCCAUUGUGUCAUUUAUAGAAAAGAUAUAGUCAAUGGUUCAUCCUGCAAGGUUCUAGGCACAGGACAUACUUAAAGGGUGGCGUGGGGGGGGGGGCCUGUGUGGGAGAGCGCACACAGCUCUAGAAGGAGAGCAAGGAUGUGGAUUCCCUUCCUUAAAUAAGGCUUCCUCUGGGCUGGGAAGGAAUUAGGGGUGGCAAAUGCUCAUACAACGGGGUCCAAACUGCUGUGCUCAGAUACAGAACUGUGAGGAGUGAGAGGGGAGUGUGGGCCAUGAUACACGUCCCUUUAAUCUUUACCUCCCUCUUAAAGAUUUUUGAACUUCCACAAAUCCCUUCCAAUAGGGUAUAAUCAGCUCCUAAGGACAAGAGAGAAGAAUGAGCUUAUCUCCUGCACUCUUUUCUUCUUUUUUGACAGUUCGGUUCCUUCAUUAUACAUAUGCUUACAGCCUUAGUAUGACAAUGGGGGCAAAAGCUGAAUUAAAGUGAUGAUUUUAUGUACAGCUUCCCAAAAGGACUUCCACCAGUGCAACUGGGUGGUCUGGAGCUUUUCUUGAAAAAAGAGAAAAUAAAGCUUUGAGAAAAAUUUAAAGUAUUUCUAUGUGAAUAUGACAUUUCCUGAACUCUGGCUUCUGGUGUCUUCACUGUUUUCAUUGCUAUUCCUUAGGUGAACUAUACGGUUUCAAUAUGUAAUUUAUAAUUGUCAAAUUCAAUUAGGUUUAACUGAGCAUUUUACAGCAGCAAAACAGCAGGAGCAAUGUCUCCGUCCACACAGCCCUCCAGAUUUCUGACUCACGGACUGUGUGUAUUCAUUUGACCUUCGGGAGUUGUCCUUUAGCUGUACCAUCCAGGCAUACAUUUACAGAGCUGCAAACAGCAGCAUGGAGGAGGGCAUGUUUGGCUGCAGCCAUUUUUUAGGCUUUCCUGGCUUACGUUCUUGUUAAAGUGAACUGAUAAAGCGCCAGACCAAAUGCUGGAAAAGUCAUUAAGCCCGUUUCUGAGCCCACAGUAGUUAACGCAAACUCCAGAAAAGGAGAGACCAUAGUGUGCCAUUAUCUUCUACCCUAACGACAGGUCCCUUUCCUCAGAUCUCUCCCAUCUAGAUAACAACGCAGCUUUAAAAUCACACUGGUUAGUUUUCAUUCCUUCCCCCGAUGUUAUUUUGAUCCUUCUUUAACACAUUCAUUGCCUGGGAUCCUCCCACCUCCAUACCACUUUCUCCAAAACCAUUGUGGGGAAUGCUGUUCAACAGACUGUAUCACAUAGGAUGAUUUUUUGAAGUUCACAGUCUCAUUUCAUUUUCUCCCCUUUUCACUGAGUUUGCUUUGGGAAAACUUUAAUAUUUAGUUCAAACUAGGUGUUGGAUGCCACAUUUCCUCAACAGGUCUGCUUAUAAAGUUUGCAAAGAACAUCUGUUUAGGUGGAGAAAUAUUCUAAGAGUAUGAGAUCUUUUGGCAGAUUAUUGUUAAAUUUCUAAUGUACAUCUUGGAAGAAAUUGACUCUUGAUGCUCUAAAUAGGAGAAGAUGUAUGGACACGGAUGUUAAUAAGGAAAGCCGAGACUGAUGAAAGCCUUGGCGAAAUAUCUUCAGGAAUUUAAGAUACAGAGCUGUGAGGGGCGCUUAAUAUUCUUUUUUUCCCUUCUACUUUUCUUAGAAAAGCAAAAUUGAGGAAUAGCUCAGGUUCCAAGGGAAUAAAAGAAUGCCGGUGAAUUUGGUUCUUGAUCCAACUUUCUGCUAGUGUAGAGUGAAUAGGAAAGCUUGACUCUUGGGGCAAUGUUUCUUUUUCAGAAAGGCAGAGCUGCUAAACAACAACAAAAAGCCUCAGGAAAAAGCUCUCAAGUCUCACAGAGUAUCCUAGUCAAGAUUCCAGAUAGUUGAGAAUAAGACUGGGAAAUAACAAAAAAUGAAUUCUGAAAGAUCCCCCAGAAAAUUUGCAAUAUACGACAUCUCUUCUUGGGUGUAGCUUGAAGCCUCACAUGCUCACGAAUUUAUCCUUUGGUUUAAUCCUUCCCAAAGAGGGAGCAAAUGUCUGAGCAGUAAGAAAUGCUGUGGUGUUAACAGCGGUAAUGAACAUUUCCCCUCUGUUCCCUUACUGCUGUCUAUCCACACAAACUGAAGUGGAAGUCAGACCUCUCCUUUCAUGACAAGGGGCGAUAAGAGAGGAGAAGAAAACAGCAGGCGGUCCUGUCUGCUCAGGAAGCGGGACUCGGUGGGACUGUCCGUCGGCAGAGGCUAACAGAAACAAUGCUCAGGCAGACUCAGGGAAAUGGAGUCAGUCAGCACUGGCCCGAGGACGGUGCAGGCAGUGGAGAGGAAGUGGCAGAGGGAGGAGCAGGCCCUGCACCACGGCCUCGUCC